RNAcentral lists this unclassified non-coding RNA (256 nucleotides) under Hevea brasiliensis (rubber tree). Lineage: Eukaryota; Viridiplantae; Streptophyta; Magnoliopsida; Malpighiales; Euphorbiaceae. The record is from RNAcentral.
UCGUCUUACUUGGUCAGCGGACAGCCGCUUUCCUUCGCGGUUGGGAACGCCUUGUCGCCCGGCACCACCGCCAGCUCCUUGUAGUAGUCCCAGGGCUUCUUCGACUCGGACGGCUUCUUGACCUCGAACAGGUAGAGGUCGUGAACCAUACGGCCGUUUUCGAGCACCUUGCCGCCCUGCGCAAAGUCGUCAUCGACCGGCAGUUCCUUCAGCUUCUUGGCCACCGCUUCGGUGUCCUUGGUGCCCGCCGCCUUGA